This 441-nucleotide ribosomal RNA is filed under the name uncultured microorganism. RNAcentral's name for it is "bacterial SSU rRNA". It matches the Rfam family "Bacterial small subunit ribosomal RNA", at positions 346 to 777 of the family's 1533-position model. The record is from RNAcentral.
GUGCAGCAGUCGAGAAUAGUCUACAAUGGACGAAAGUCUGAUAGUGCGACGCCGUGUGUGCGAUUAAUUCCUUCGGGAUGUAAAGCACUUUUCUAUGAGAUAAAAGCUCUUUAGGUUAAUAGCUUAUUGAGACGGAUAUUAUUAUAGGAAUAAGCUCCGGCUAACUCCGUGCCAGCAGCCGCGGUAAUACGGAAGGAGCGAGCGUUGUCCGGAUUUACUAGGCGUAAAGGGCUAGUAGGCGACUAAUUAAGUUAUAUGUUAAAUCCCACGGCUCAACUGUGGUCCUGCAUGUAAUACUGGUUAGAUAGAGUACUGUAGAGGAAGGCAGAAUUCCUGGAGUAGCGGUGGAAUGCGCAGAUAAUCAGGAAGAAUACCAAAAAGCGAAGGCAGCCUUCUGGGCAGUUACUGACGCUGAAUAGCGAAGUGUGGUAGCGAACAGGA